RNAcentral lists this unclassified non-coding RNA (253 nucleotides) under uncultured Gammaproteobacteria bacterium. RNAcentral's name for it is "contains 16S-23S intergenic spacer region". It matches the Rfam family "Bacterial small subunit ribosomal RNA", at positions 524 to 776 of the family's 1533-position model. The record is from RNAcentral. Lineage: Bacteria; Pseudomonadati; Pseudomonadota; Gammaproteobacteria.
UACGGAGGGUGCAAGCGUUAAUCGGAAUUACUGGGCGUAAAGCGUGCGUAGGCGGUUUGGUCAGUUGGAUGUGAAAGCCCCGGGCUCAACCUGGGAAUUGCAUUCAAUACUGCCAGGCUAGAGUACGGUAGAGGAGGGUAGAAUUCCUAGUGUAGCGGUGAAAUGCGUAGAUAUUAGGAGGAAUACCAGUGGCGAAGGCGGCCCUCUGGACCGAUACUGACGCUGAGGUACGAAAGCGUGGGGAGCAAACAGG